Molecule: transfer RNA, 73 nt
Filed under: Fornicia albalata
Lineage: Eukaryota; Metazoa; Arthropoda; Insecta; Hymenoptera; Braconidae
Description: tRNA-Met
Source: RNAcentral
AUAAAUAUAAGCUAAAUAGUAAAGCUUUUUGAUUCAUAAUCAAACAAUAGAUGUAUAAUAAAUCUUUUUUAUA